RNAcentral lists this unclassified non-coding RNA (235 nucleotides) under plant metagenome. RNAcentral's name for it is "partial contains small subunit ribosomal RNA, internal transcribed spacer 1, and 5.8S ribosomal RNA". The record is from RNAcentral.
UUUCCGUAGGUGAACCUGCGGAAGGAUCAUUAAAGAGUAGGGGACAUUCUGGCCCGACGUCCAACCCUUUGUUUAAUUCGUAUGUUGCUUUGGCGGCCCCGUUUCACGACCGCCGGAAUCUCUCGGACUACUACCCCGUGCCCGCCAAUAGCCUUCUACAAACUCUUGAUCAAUUGUGAUGUCUGAGUAAUAAAUUUAAUAGUUAAAACUUUCAACAACGGAUCUCUUGGUUCUG